Molecule: transfer RNA, 59 nt
Filed under: Chthamalus stellatus
Lineage: Eukaryota; Metazoa; Arthropoda; Thecostraca; Balanomorpha; Chthamalidae
Description: tRNA-Trp
Source: RNAcentral
GUUAAGAAAACUGAUGGCCUUCAAAGCCGUAAUUAGGUAAAUUACCUAGAUGUUAGAUA